GCACAAUCCUGGUUUUGGGGCUAGGAUGUACUGUGGAGAUCAGGGCAGAUGGGGAAGUGGAGAGUAGAUGGGAUAGAAGGUACAAAUGCUUAUGUGAGUUUGGGAUUCUUCUCUGUUACAAUCACACACUUGGAAGCUUAAACAAAAAAAAAUCCCUGCAUGUUUGGAAUAUAGCAUGUUUUUCAUUCUUCCCUAGGCAUUCCAUAAACCGAACAUGGACACGAAAACAGGCUUCUUUGUGUUUUCUUCCUGAUCUAAGUGACAUGAAGUGUCAGGUAGACAAGUGUUGUUUAUCCAACAAAUCUGCACUACACAGUGACACAAUCACAGGUGAAGAGAUUGACAGCCUCCAAAAACGUCAUGUUUUUAACAUGCAGAAGUUAAAGAAUUCAGAGUUGAGAUUCACUGAAGCCAAGCAAAAAAUAAGAGAACUUGCACUUAAUAUCAAAAUGAAAAAGGAACUUAUUAAGGAAUUAGCAAGAACAGGUAAGUGGCUACUGUAGGAAAAAUUAGAAUGAAGAAGUUCAGAAAAAAAAGAGAAGUCACAAAACUUUUGAAGUCCUGCUUUAGUUUUUAUGUAAUUAUGCAAGAAUACUUUUAGUAAAGAUUCAUAACUUUCAUUAUUUGCUAUGACUGCACUGAAGGCUGUAAAUUUUGAUUACAGUCUACUCUGCUGUGAUACACAAAUGUGUUUGUUAUAUUUUUUUGUGCUUUGCUGAUUUUUGCUUUUAUCCACUAAUAGUCUAACUUUUCAUGUAUGCUUAGUGCUACUGAUCUGUUUGUGGACAUGUAUUUGUCACAUGGUGUCUGGGGUAGGAGAGGAGAUACACCAUUGUGCUGCGAAUGCAAACAUUCCCAGCACUGCAGUAGAGAAGCAGGAGUCAGAAGUGGGUGAGGGAAAAGGUCAGUGUCCCUGUUAGCCUACACCCUUACACAUCUGUCCUGGUAUGUAUGUAUCUACAUGCCUGCCAAAAACUAGCCUUAUUAUGACUGUAAGGGUCUCUUUGCUCAGCCCCUUCAAUCACACUCUUCUCUUGUGCAUACCUUCUCUUGAGGUUGUCUUUUGGCACUGAGAAAGAUUGUGUGCCCCCCAAAGUAGUACUUUGGAAAGAUAACACAAACAGGCCAUGUAAGAGAGCAGAAACACAAUCCAAAGCUGUUUACUAAUUAUUAAGAUGAUAGUUGAGUAAUAAAUAAACAGCAUAUUCUUCUGGAAAAAGCAAAAUUUAUCAAACACAUGAGAGCCAUUUUCACAAAAACUACAGCAGGAAGAAGAAUUUCACUUUAUUUGGGACUAAGGUGGCACUUUAUUUGGUGACAAAUGGUGACUCAUAAAGAACUCAGUUUUAAGACUCUUUCCUUUAUUUCAGAGUUAUAAAGGAACUAUAUGUUCCUUUAAGGUUGGAAAAUAUCUCAGAAAUUACUAAUUUAGCCAGAAUGAAGUAAGUAAUACAACUACAGAAUCAAGUAUUACAUUUCAACUGAUUAUCCUGAUGUUUUUAAACUAUCUCGAUAUGAUGUCUUUAAGGUAAGGAUGCUCAGUUUGUAAGCAGGCAGUGUUCUUUGAAAAUAACUAAACUGGAACAAGAAUCUGAGCAGGCCAAACUGGAAUUGGCUGAAACGCAAAAGCAGCUUCAGGAGCUCCAGAGUAAUAAGGAGCUGAGAGACAUUCCUGAGAAAACAAAGUUAC
This is a long non-coding RNA of Amazona collaria (yellow-billed parrot), 1690 nucleotides long. Lineage: Eukaryota; Metazoa; Chordata; Aves; Psittaciformes; Psittacidae. The record is from Ensembl.